Eriocheir sinensis (Chinese mitten crab) is the source of this 350-nucleotide long non-coding RNA. RefSeq lists it as uncharacterized. The transcript has 2 exons. Lineage: Eukaryota; Metazoa; Arthropoda; Malacostraca; Decapoda; Varunidae. The record is from RefSeq and is a predicted model, not a curated record.
CCCUAAGGAGACAGCUGCAGGCUCAAGCUGGACCCCAAAGUUGACAACAGCACCAGCAAACCCUUCGGCACCAGGUACAUGGUGACCUGCAGAGGCUGCCCAAGAGUGUACCCAUGGGUGUGGGAUGCCACUGGACUGGGACAGGAGCAGGACACCUAUGUGCUCAACCCAAACACCAACCGUGAGACCGUGCUGGCGUAGUCCCCGCUCCCACCCACCCUCAUCCCUUCCUCAUCCCCACCACACCACAACACCAGGAAAGGAAACACUGCGACUCAUCCUCUGCAACAACCAUUGCUUUAACCAGAACAGUUUUUUUGUAAGAAUUGAGUAAAGAACUGUAAAUACUU